Molecule: long non-coding RNA, 288 nt
Organism: Chinchilla lanigera (long-tailed chinchilla)
Lineage: Eukaryota; Metazoa; Chordata; Mammalia; Rodentia; Chinchillidae
Exons: 3
Source: RefSeq, a predicted model, not a curated record
CCAUGAAGCGUGGACCAGGGCCAAGGACCGAGGUGCUGGGGCGGGAUAGAGAGCCGGCUGGUGACUGAACAGGACAGCUGCCAGGUUUUUCCCAAACUCAUCAAUACUGGGAGUAAAUUAUGCCUCAGUCAAGGAAGUUCCUCCCCCGAAAGACACUGAGGCCAGGGAUGGCUCAGCAGGACCAAGGCGAAGGCAGGACCAGAUACUGGGCCGCGCCGUUUCCCGUCCUGGAUGCCGAACAGCACGAACUUGUACUUGCGGGAGGACUCCAGGCCGGGGACAGUGACU